Molecule: ribosomal RNA, 492 nt
Filed under: uncultured bacterium
Lineage: Bacteria
Description: partial 16S ribosomal RNA
Rfam family: Bacterial small subunit ribosomal RNA
Source: RNAcentral
AGUGAACGCUGGCGGUAGGCCUAACACAUGCAAGUCGAACGGCAGCACAGUAAGAUCUUGCUCGUACGGGUGGCGAGUGGCGGACGGGUGAGGAAUACAUCGGAAUCUACUUUUUCGUGGGGGAUAACGUAGGGAAACUUACGCUAAUACCGCAUACGACCUACGGGUGAAAGCAGGGGAUCUUCGGACCUUGCGCGAUUGAAUGAGCCGAUGUCGGAUUAGCUAGUUGGCGGGGUAAAGGCCCACCAAGGCGACGAUCCGUAGCUGGGCUGAGAGGAUGAUCAGCCACACUGGAACUGAGACACGGUCCAGACUCCUACGGGAGGGAGCAGUGGGGAAUAUUGGACAAUGGGCGCAAGCCUGAUCCAGCCAUACCGCGUGGGUGAAGAAGGCCUUCGGGUUGUAAAGCCCUUUUGUUGGGAAAGAAAAGCAGCAGGUUAAUACCCCGCUGUUCUGACGGUACCCAAAGAAUAAGCACCGGCUAACUUCGUG